GUAGGGAAUAUUGGGCAAUGGAGGCAACUCUGACCCAGCCAUGCCGCGUGCAGGAAGACGGUCCUCUGGAUUGUAAACUGCUUUUGAAUGGGAAGAAACGUAGCUUUGCGAAGCUAUUUGACGGUACUAUUAGAAUAAGCACCGGCUAACUCCGUGCCAGCAGCCGCGGUAAUACGGAGGGUGCAAGCGUUAUCCGGAUUUAUUGGGUUUAAAGGGUGCGUAGGCGGCUUUAUAAGUCUGGGGUUAAAGGCGGCAGCUUAACUGUACGCAUGCCCUGGAAACUGUGAAGCUUGAGUGACUUGGAGGUAGCUAGAAUUCCCUGUGUAGCGGUGAAAUGCAUAGAUACGGGGAGGAAUACCGAUUGCGAAGGCAUGUUACUACGAGUAAACUGACGCUGAUGCACGAAAGCGUGGGGAUCAAACAGGAUUAGAAACCCGGGUAGUCC
Molecule: ribosomal RNA, 445 nt
Filed under: uncultured bacterium
Lineage: Bacteria
Description: bacterial SSU rRNA
Rfam family: Bacterial small subunit ribosomal RNA
Source: RNAcentral